This 553-nucleotide long non-coding RNA is filed under the name Elaeis guineensis (African oil palm). RNAcentral describes it as "long non-coding RNA (EGUI_LNC035535)". The record is from RNAcentral. Lineage: Eukaryota; Viridiplantae; Streptophyta; Magnoliopsida; Arecales; Arecaceae.
UUAUUCAAAAUAUUUAAAAAAUAUUAGUAAUUUUAACAUAUUUCUAUAUUCAUAUAUUAAACUAAAUUUUUUUAAAAAGAUAAUGAUGUUGGAGGUUACUUACUAUCCGACUAAAUCUUUCUGCGCUUUGCAACCAAGUGUCUACUAAUGAUCUGGUGAGACCACCUCAGAUGUCAAAGAGAGAUCCGAGAAUCUAAGAUGAAGUGGUGCUACAACAUCGGCUUUUAUCUAAUCUCCGGAUUGGAUAUUUACCGACCUCGAGAUCAGAACUCAAUCGAUGAUAGAAAACAAGCUCACUGGCUUACACGAACAUCGACACACCUAAGGUAAGGCCUUUGCUUUGUUCUGAACUCAAGUCACCGACCUAUUCAACCACGCAAGCAAUUUCUAAAAAUUUUCCAACGACUUUUGGAAUAUGGGUACGAUCUAUAGCUGAUAUUCACGACUAAUAACCCCAAUUCAUAGGUUAGUGGACAGUUUCCUAUCCUAACGGCCUAUUAGAUCAUGGUCUGGUAAGUCUUAACAGCCCACUAGAUUUCGAUGGAAUAGCCUA